RNAcentral lists this ribosomal RNA (492 nucleotides) under uncultured bacterium. RNAcentral's name for it is "partial 16S ribosomal RNA". It matches the Rfam family "Bacterial small subunit ribosomal RNA", at positions 29 to 507 of the family's 1533-position model. The record is from RNAcentral.
AGUGAACGCUGGCGGUAGGCCUAACACAUGCAAGUCGAACGGCAGCACAGUAAGAGCUUGCUCUUACGGGUGGCGAGUGGCGGACGGGUGAGGAAUACAUCGGACUCUACUUUUUCGUGGGGGAUAACGUAGGGAAACUUACGCUAAUACCGCAUACGACCUACGGGUGAAAGCAGGGGAUCUUCGGACCUUGCGCGAUUGAAUGAGCCGAUGUCGGAUUAGCUAGUUGGCGGGGUAAAGGCCCACCACGGCGACGAUCCGUAGCUGGUCUGAGAGGAUGAUCAGCCACACGGGAACUGAGACACGGUCCAGACUCCUACGGGAGGCAGCAGUGGGGAAUAUUGGACAAUGGGCGAAAGCCUGAUCCAGCCAUACCGCGUGGGUGAAGAAGGACUUCGGGUUGUAAAGCCCUUUUGUUGGGAAAGAAAAGCAGCAGGUUAAGACCCCGCUGUUCUGACGGUACCCAAAGAAUAAGCACCGGCUAACUUCGUG